This 1139-nucleotide ribosomal RNA is filed under the name Priestia flexa. RNAcentral's name for it is "bacterial SSU rRNA". It matches the Rfam family "Bacterial small subunit ribosomal RNA", at positions 66 to 1185 of the family's 1533-position model. The record is from RNAcentral. Lineage: Bacteria; Bacillati; Bacillota; Bacilli; Caryophanales; Bacillaceae.
GCGAACUGAUUAGAAGCUUGCUUCUAUGACGUUAGCGGCGGACGGGUGAGUAACACGUGGGCAACCUGCCUGUAAGACUGGGAUAACUCCGGGAAACCGGAGCUAAUACCGGAUAACAUUUUUUCUUGCAUAAAAGAAAAUUGAAAGAUGGUUUCGGCUAUCACUUACAGAUGGGCCCGCGGUGCAUUAGCUAGUUGGUGAGGUAACGGCUCACCAAGGCAACGAUGCAUAGCCGACCUGAGAGGGUGAUCGGCCACACUGGGACUGAGACACGGCCCAGACUCCUACGGGAGGCAGCAGUAGGGAAUCUUCCGCAAUGGACGAAAGUCUGACGGAGCAACGCCGCGUGAGUGAUGAAGGCUUUCGGGUCGUAAAACUCUGUUGUUAGGGAAGAACAAGUACAAGAGUAACUGCUUGUACCUUGACGGUACCUAACCAGAAAGCCACGGCUAACUACGUGCCAGCAGCCGCGGUAAUACGUAGGUGGCAAGCGUUAUCCGGAAUUAUUGGGCGUAAAGCGCGCGCAGGCGGUUUCUUAAGUCUGAUGUGAAAGCCCACGGCUCAACCGUGGAGGGUCAUUGGAAACUGGGGAACUUGAGUGCAGAAGAGAAAAGCGGAUUUCCACGUGUAGCGGUGAAAUGCGUAGAGAUGUGGAGGAACACCAGUGGCGAAGGCGGCUUUUUGGUCUGUAACUGACGCUGAGGCGCGAAAGCGUGGGGAGCAAACAGGAUUAUAUACCCUGGUAGUCCACGCCGUAAACGAUGAGUGCUAAGUGUUAGAGGGUUUCCGCCCUUUUAGUGCUGCAGCUAACGCAUUAAGCACUCCGCCCGGGGAGUACGGUCGCAAGACUGAAACUCAAAGGAUUUGACGGGCGCCCGCACCAGCGGUGGAGCAUGUUGUUUUAUUCGAAGCAACGCGAAGAACCUUACCAGGGUCGUGGACAUCCUCUGACAACUCUAGAGAUAGAGCGUUCCCCUUCGGGGGACAGGAGUGACAGGUGCUGCAUGGGUCGUCGUCAGCUCGUCGUCGUGAGAUGGUGGGAUUAGGUCCAGCACGAGCGCCACCCGUUGAUCUUAGUUGCAUCAUUUUAGUUGGCACUCUGAGGUACUGCGGUGACCACCGAGGAGGUGGGAUGACGU